AACCAUACAACACAGUUGCAGUACUAUGAUUCUGCUUUAACUACCGCUAAGUGAAAUUAGAGUACUGUAACUGGGUUGUGUGUAA
Molecule: microRNA precursor, 85 nt
Organism: Anolis carolinensis (green anole)
Lineage: Eukaryota; Metazoa; Chordata; Lepidosauria; Squamata; Anolidae
Source: Ensembl